RNAcentral lists this ribosomal RNA (403 nucleotides) under uncultured bacterium. Its description in RNAcentral is "bacterial SSU rRNA". It matches the Rfam family "Bacterial small subunit ribosomal RNA", at positions 355 to 775 of the family's 1533-position model. The record is from RNAcentral.
UAGGGAAUAUUAGUAAUGGGCGAAAGCCUGAACUAGCAACGCCGCGUGUGCGAAGAAGGCCUUCGGGUUGUAAAGCACUUUUUGAGAGGAUGAGGAAGGACGGUACUCUCAGAAUAAGUCUCGGCUAACUACGUGCCAGCAGCCGCGGUAACACGUAGGAGGCAAACGUUAUCCGGAUUUACUGGGCGUAAAGCGCGUGUAGGUGGUUUGGUAAGUAGGGCGUGAAAGCUCCUGGCUCAACUGGGAGAGGCCGUUCUAAACUGCCAAGCUAGAGGAUGGGAGAGGGAGGUGGAAUUCCGGGUGUAACGGUGGAAUGCGCAGAUAUCCGGAGGAACACCAGUGGCGAAAGCGGCCUCCUGGACCAUUCCUGACACUCAGACGCGAAAGCUAGGGUAGCAAACGG